GGUCCCCUGCUUUGCGCGUGAUAGAUACGUCUUGUUCCUCGUGAAAAAAAAAUAACGGGAGCUAUCUUCUGGAAAGGGUGUGCAUGCCCAGAUAGGACUGGGAAGCCUAAACUUUCUUAUAUGGCGCCCACCUGGUUGCUACCAGGAAUCAAGUCUAUCUGCACGGCAAAAGCGGGGGAUUU
RNAcentral lists this non-coding RNA (182 nucleotides) under Nitrospiraceae bacterium. RNAcentral's name for it is "6S RNA". It matches the Rfam family "6S / SsrS RNA". From Rfam's summary of the family: E. coli 6S RNA was the first non coding RNA to be sequenced, but its function was unknown until recently. The record is from RNAcentral. Lineage: Bacteria; Pseudomonadati; Nitrospirota; Nitrospiria; Nitrospirales; Nitrospiraceae.